RNAcentral lists this ribosomal RNA (989 nucleotides) under uncultured Chloridium. RNAcentral describes it as "eukaryotic LSU rRNA". The stretch from base 569 to 722 matches the Rfam family "5.8S ribosomal RNA". Lineage: Eukaryota; Fungi; Ascomycota; Sordariomycetes; Chaetosphaeriales; Chaetosphaeriaceae. The record is from RNAcentral.
CUUGGUCAUUUAGAGGAAGUAAAAGUCGUAACAAGGUUCCCUUCCGCCGCUCAGCACGGAGACCUUGCAACCCCUAGGGGAGGCAGCACGACAGUAAGCAAAGCUUGCCGCUUGCAAGUCGGCCACUUGGCUGGCAACACAAUCGAAUUGACGGGGACUUCCUAAAGCCUGUAACACCAACCGUCCGGGGAAACUCGGGCGGGGCCCUCACGGGGUGGUAAGAGAGUACAGGAUGUAACAAUGGACAAUCCGCAGCGAAGACCCUACCGGCUCCGGCCCACGGGUACCGUUCACAGACUAAGUGAUUGUGGGCGGGGCAAUCGUGCCCUGUCUAAGAUAUAGUCGGACUCUACCCGAAAGGAUAGAGGAUAGCAUGUCCGUAGGUGAACCUGCGGAAGGAUCAUUAAAGAAUGCCCCGUUUUUCGAAGCGGGUUCUAUUCCCAAACCGUGUAUACAUACCUUUGUUGCUUUGGCAGGCCGCCUUCGGGCGUCGGCUUACCCUGACCGCGCCUGCCAGAGGACCCAAACUCUUUUGUUUAGUGAUGUCUGAGUACUAUAUAAUAGUUAAAACUUUCAACAACGGAUCUCUUGGUUCUGGCAUCGAUGAAGAACGCGGCGAAAUGCGAUAAGUAAUGUGAAUUGCAGAAUUCAGUGAAUCAUCGAAUCUUUGAACGCACCUUGCGCUCCUUGGUAUUCCGAGGAGCAUGCCUGUUUGAGUGUCUUGAAAUCAUCAAACCCCUCCGGUUUCUGCCGGAGUGGGUUUGGACUUGGGGGCUUUUGCUGCCUUCUGGCGGCUCCCCUUAAAUGAAUCGGUCGGGCUUUCGCGUGGCUUGUCCCUUGGCGUUGUAUCAACCUCGUCGCUGGAUGGCUCGCGAGUUUUGCGCCCCUCCAAGACCAGCCUCUGGAGCGGCGGUCAACUUCAAUUUUUGAUCUGACCUCAAAUCAGGUAGGACUACCCGCUGAACUUAAGCAUAUCAAUAAGCGGAGGA